GCUCAAAUUUGAAAUCUGGCUCUUUCAGGGUCCGAGUUGUAAUUUGCAGAGGGUGCUUUGGUGUUGGCGGCGGUCUAAGUUCCUUGGAACAGGACAUCGCAGAGGGUGAGAAUCCCGUAUGUGGUCGCCUGCCUUCGCCGUGUAAAGCCCCUUCGACGAGUCGAGUUGUUUGGGAAUGCAGCUCUAAAUGGGAGGUAAAUUUCUUCUAAAGCUAAAUACCGGCCAGAGACCGAUAGCGCACAAGUAGAGUGAUCGAAAGAUGAAAAGCACUUUGGAAAGAGAGUCAAACAGCACGUGAAAUUGUUAAAAGGGAAGCGCUUGCAGCCAGACUUGCCUGUAGUUGCUCGCCUGGGCUUUUGCCCGGGUUACUCUUCUGCAGGCAGGCCAGCAUCAGUUUGGGCGGUCGGAUAAAGGUCCCUUUCACGUAUCUCCCUUCGGGGUUAACAUAUAGGGGGGACGUAAUGCGACCAGCCUGGACUGAGGUCCGCGCAUCUGCUAGGAUGCUGGCGUAAUGGCUGUAAGCGGCCCGUCUUGAAACACGGACCAAGGAGUCUAACAUCUAUGCGAGUGUUUGGGUGUCAAGCCCGAGCGCGUAAUGAAAGUGAACGGAGGUGGGAACCCCUCGGGGCGCACCAUCGACCGAUCCUGAUGUCUUCGGAUGGAUUUGAGUAAGAGCAUAGCUGUUGGGACCCGAAAGAUGGUGAACUAUGCUUGAAUAGGGUGAAGCCAGAGGAAACUCUGGUGGAGGCUCGCAGCGGUUCUGACGUGC
This 769-nucleotide ribosomal RNA is filed under the name Periconia byssoides. RNAcentral's name for it is "partial large subunit ribosomal RNA". It matches the Rfam family "Eukaryotic large subunit ribosomal RNA", at positions 107 to 894 of the family's 3401-position model. Lineage: Eukaryota; Fungi; Ascomycota; Dothideomycetes; Pleosporales; Periconiaceae. The record is from RNAcentral.